GUAGGGAAUAUUGCACAAUGGAGGAAACUCUGAUGCAGCGACGCCGCGUGAGUGAUGAAGGCCUUCGGGUCGUAAAGCUCUGUCGCAGGGGGAUAACACAAUGAAGGUACCCUGUAAGAAAGGAUCGGCUAACUUCGUGCCAGCAGCCGCGGUAAGACGAGGGAUCCUAGCGUUGUUCGGAAUCAUUGGGCGUAAAGCGGAUGUAGGUGGCUAUGUAAGUCAGAUGUGAAAGCCUGGGGCUCAACCCCAGAAGUGCAUUUGAUACUGCGUAGCUUGAGUGUCGGAGAGGUUACUAGAAUUGUUGGUGUAGUGGUGAAAUACGUAGAUAUCAACAGGAAUACCGGAGGCGAAGGCGGGUAACUGGCCGAACACUGACACUGAGAUCCGAAAGCGUGGGGAUCAAACAGGAUUAGAUACCCUAGUAGUCC
This 428-nucleotide ribosomal RNA is filed under the name uncultured bacterium. RNAcentral describes it as "partial 16S ribosomal RNA". It matches the Rfam family "Bacterial small subunit ribosomal RNA", at positions 354 to 796 of the family's 1533-position model. The record is from RNAcentral.